CUUAUGGCUCCCAGUGAUGGGAAAUGUAGUCCCAGUCAGUCAGUGCGGAUUGUUACUCCAGGUGCUGUGGCUCCCAGUGAUGGGAAAUGUAGUCCCAGUCAGUCAGUGCGGAUUGUUACUCCAGGUGCUGUGGCUCCCAGUGAUGGGAAAUGUAGCCCCAGACAGUGCGGAUUGUUACUCCGUGCGCUAUGGCUCCCAGUGAUGGGAAAUGUAGUCCCAGACAGUCAGUGCGGAUUGUUACUCCGUGCGCUAUGGCUCCCAGUGAUGGGAAAUGUAGUCCCAGUCAGUCAGUGCGGAUUGAUACUCCAUGUGCUAUGGCUCCCAGUGAUGGGAAAUGUAGUCCCAGACAGUCAGUGCGGAUUGUUACUCCGUGCGCUAUGGCUCCCAGUGAUGGGAAAUGUAGUCCCAGACAGUCAGUGCGGAUUGUUACUCCGUGCGCUAUGGCUCCCAGUGAUGGGAAAUGUAGUCCCAGACAGUCAGUGCGGAUUGUUACUCCGUGCGCUAUGGCUCCCAGUGAUGGGAAAUGUAGUCCCAGACAGUCAGUGCGGAUUGUUACUCCGUGCGCUAUGGCUCCCAGUGAUGGGAAAUGUAGUCCCAGACAGUCAGUGCGGAUUGUUACUCCGUGCGCUAUGGCUCCCAGUGAUGGGAAAUGUAGUCCCAGACAGUCAGUGCGGAUUGUUACUCCGUGCGCUAUGGCUCCCAGUGAUGGGAAAUGUAGUCCCAGACAGUCAGUGCGGAUUGUUACUCCGUGCGCUAUGGCUCCCAGUGAUGGGAAAUGUAGUCCCAGACAGUCAGUGCGGAUUGUUACUCCGUGCGCUAUGGCUCCCAGUGAUGGGAAAUGUAGUCCCAGACAGUCAGUGCGGAUUGUUACUCCGUGCGCUAUGGCUCCCAGUGAUGGGAAAUGUAGUCCCAGACAGUCAGUGCGGAUUGUUACUCCGUGCGCUAUGGCUCCCAGUGAUGGGAAAUGUAGUCCCAGACAGUCAGUGCGGAUUGUUACUCCGUGCGCUAUGGCUCCCAGUGAUGGGAAAUGUAGUCCCAGACAGUCAGUGCGGAUUGUUACUCCGUGCGCUAUGGCUCCCAGUGAUGGGAAAUGUAGUCCCAGACAGUCAGUGCGGAUUGUUACUCCGUGCGCUAUGGCUCCCAGUGAUGGGAAAUGUAGUCCCAGACAGUCAGUGCGGAUUGUUACUCCGUGCGCUAUGGCUCCCAGUGAUGGGAAAUGUAGUCCCAGACAGUCAGUGCGGAUUGUUACUCCGUGCGCUAUGGCUCCCAGUGAUGGGAAAUGUAGUCCCAGACAGUCAGUGCGGAUUGUUACUCCGUGCGCUAUGGCUCCCAGUGAUGGGAAAUGUAGUCCCAGACAGUCAGUGCGGAUUGUUACUCCGUGCGCUAUGGCUCCCAGUGAUGGGAAAUGUAGUCCCAGACAGUCAGUGCGGAUUGUUACUCCGUGCGCUAUGGCUCCCAGUGAUGGGAAAUGUAGUCCCAGACAGUCAGUGUGGAUUGCUACUCCGUGCACUAUGGCUCCCAGUGAUGGGAAAUGUAGUCCCAGACAGUCAGUGCGGAUUGUUACUCCGUGCGCUGUGGCUCCCAGUGAUGGGAAAUGUAGUCCCAGACAGUCAGUGCGGAUUGUUACUCCAAGCGCUAUGGCUCCCAGUGAUGGGAAAUGUAGUCACAGACAGUCAGUGCGGAUUGUUACUCCGUGCGCUAUGGCUCCCAGUGAUGGGAAAUGUAGUCCCAGACAGUCAGUGCGGAUUGAUACUCCGUGCGCUGUGGCUCCCAGUGAUGGGAAAUGUAGUCCCAGACAGUCAGUGCUGAUUGAUACUCCAGGUGCUCUGGCUCCCAGUGAUGGGAAAUGUAGUCCCAGACAGUCAGUGCGGAUUGUUACUCCAUGCGCUGUGGCUCCCAGUGAUGGGAAAUGUAGUCCCAGACAGUGCGGAUUGAUACUCCGUGCGCUAUGGCUCCCAGUGAUGGGAAAUGUAGUCCCAGACAGUCAGUGCGGAUUGUUACUCCGUGCGCUAUGGCUCCCAGUGAUGGGAAAUGUAGUCCCAGUCAGUCAGUGCGGAUUGAUACUCCGUGCGCAAUGGCUCUCAGUGAUGGGAAAUGUAGUCCCAGUCAGUCAGUGCGGAUUGAUACUCCGUGCGCUGUGGCUCUCAGUGAUGGGAAAUGUAGUCCCAGACAGUCAGUGCGGAUUGAUACUCCGUGCGCUGUGGCUCUCAGUGAUGGGAAAUGUAGUCCCAGACAGUCAGUGCGGAUUGAUACUCCAGGUGCUAUGGCUCCCAGUGAUGGGAAAUGUAGUCCCAGUCAGUCAGUGCGGAUUGUUACUCCAUGUGCUAUGGCUCCCAGUGAUGGGAAAUGUAGUCCCAGACAGUCAGUGCGGGUUGUUACUCCAUGUGCUAUGGCUCCCAGUGAUGGGAAAUGUAGUCCCAGACAGUCAGUGCGGAUUGUUACUCCAUGUGCUAUGGCUCCCAGUGAUGGGAAAUGUAGUCCCAGACAGUCAGUGCGGAUUGUUACUCCAUGCGCUAUGGCUCCCAGUGAUGGGAAAUGUAGUCCCAGACAGUCAGUGCGGAUUGAUACUCCAGGUGCUAUGGCUCCCAGUGAUGGGAAAUGUAGUCCCAGACAGUCAGUGCGGAUUGUUACUCCGUGCGCUAUGGCUCCCAGUGAUGGGAAAUGUAGUCCCAGUCAGUCAGUGCGGAUUGAUACUCCGUGCGCUAUGGCUCUCAGUGAUGGGAAAUGUAGUCCCAGUCAGUCAGUGCGGAUUGAUACUCCGUGCGCUGUGGCUCUCAGUGAUGGGAAAUGUAGUCUCAGACAGUCAGUGCGGAUUGAUACUCCGUGCGCUGUGGCUCUCAGUGAUGGGAAAUGUAGUCCCAGACAGUCAGUGCGGAUUGAUACUCCAGGUGCUAUGGCUCCCAGUGAUGGGAAAUGUAGUCCCAGACAGUCAGUGCGGAUUGUUACUCCAUGUGCUAUGGCUCCCAGUGAUGGGAAAUGUAGUCCCAGACAGUCAGUGCGGAUUGUUACUCCAGGUGCUGUGGCUCCCAGUGAUGGGAAAUGUAGUCCCAGACAGUCAGUGCGGAUUGUUACUCCGUGCGCUGUGGCUCCCAGUGAUGGGAAAUGUAGUCCCAGACAGUCAGUGCGGAUUGAUACCCCAGGUGCUAUGGCUCCCAGUGAUGGGAAAUGUAGUCCCAGACAGUCAGUGCGGAUUGUUACUCCAGGUGCUGUGGCUCCCAGUGAUGGGAAAUGUAGUCCCAGACAGUCAGUGCGGAUUGUUACUCCGUGCGCUAUGGCUCCCAGUGAUGGGAAAUGUAGUCCCAGACAGUCA
This is a non-coding RNA of Pelobates cultripes (western spadefoot toad), 3310 nucleotides long. NCBI's taxonomy places the organism in Eukaryota, Metazoa, Chordata, Amphibia, Anura, Pelobatidae. The record is from the annotation of a GenBank genome assembly.